Long non-coding RNA from Ctenopharyngodon idella (grass carp), 8018 nucleotides. RefSeq lists it as uncharacterized. NCBI's taxonomy places the organism in Eukaryota, Metazoa, Chordata, Actinopteri, Cypriniformes, Xenocyprididae. The record is from RefSeq and is a predicted model, not a curated record. The transcript has 4 exons.
UUUAAAUGGAGGAAUAAUAUUGUGUGUGUGUGUGUGUGUGUGUACUAAAUAAGAGCCAAUCGCUGAAUGGUAAAGUCAUCGCAUCACUGCAGCGGCCGUUAGAAGCUCCGGUUCCUAUGCACAGGCGUACAGUCCGUGGUCAUAAAAAUUCGUCUGCAUGCGGCCACUGUUCAGAGAUCCAAAGCUAGUCCACAGUCUAGUAAACGUUGCUUGCUUGCGCCGACUGAAAACACACGAGGAACAUCAUGAGAUAGGAGAGACUCGGACAUUGCAGUACUGAACAUUGAAUGGUCCAUGUAUGUGGAUUUGGAUAAAACAGGUAAUCGCUUAUUCUUAUUAUCAUGCUACUUUUAUUAUCAAGUUAAUAUUGCAAUUAAUUUGCCCCGGGAUAUCAUACCACAUCACCGCAUAACCGACGCGCUGCGAGGAUAAUAAAAUAUUAGUUAGAUAGCUUACUCCUCAUUUAAAAAACAACUUGUUUUACAUGAAAUACUUAUCAAUUCAUGAAAAAUACUCAUUUUUUUCUCACUAUGGGCCACAAGAGAAAUAUUAAGAAAAUAAAUUAGAUUCAUCUCUCAUCGUCUCUAAGAGAAUAUGUGCAGUUAAUGCAGUGCUAGAUGUCGGAUGUUUUGUAACUGCAAAAAAAAAAACAAAUUACUAUACAAAAGACUAGAAUAACACAAGACGCAUCACUCGCAUUGUUUUGAAUGGGAGAAAGUGCACUUAUAUUCCACCAAUAUAGUGGAAUAAGUCACGCCUUCUAAAUAAGAGCCAAUUGCUGAUUGGUGAAGUCAUUGCGUCACUGCAGCAGCCGUUAGAAGCUCCGGUUCCUAUAGAAACAGUCAGACACGCACUUCCUAUAUAAAGACGCGCACUUAGGACUGCGCAUGUGCGCAAAUAGUCUAUAAACAAAGCAUCAGGCUGUCUUCACAUGAACAACUGUUAAAGUUACUCGUCAGGCUACAGAAUGUAUUUAGAUCUGCAGCUGCUUCCUCAAGCAAUCUCACAUUCUUAGCAGACUGGUGGUACAGAGAAUACAGCUUGGCAAUGAAAAAUUCGAAAUGAUUACAUCCAGCAACCGCUUUCAAACAAUCAUGGACAGCCAAUUCAAGGCGAUGGGCCAAGCAAUGUAUGGACUGGAUGUUUGGAAAGUCACUUAAGUCUUGCAAUGACUCCAGUGGUUUUGCCAGUGAGAACUGCAGCCCCAUCUGUGGCGAUGCUGGUGAGGUGUUUCCCCAAAAACUCAUAAUCUAAUCCCGCUGUAUGAAGGCACUGUCUUAAACUGUUGUGAAUGGACUCUGCAUCUGUGCCCUGCGUCAGCUUUACAAUGUCUAAAAAAAACAUUUUCUAUAUCUCCUUUGCCACUCACAUCACAUCUCACGUAUACGAUGAGAUAGGCACGACCAUCUAUAGUGCUUUCGUCAAUGGUGAUGCUAAUUUUUGAAUUGAGCUCUCGAAUAUUGGAAACAAAUUUCUUCCGCAUUUGCUGUGCAAUAUGACCUAUAAUCUCAGCGCAGGAGUGCUCUGAUUUAUGUGCAGUUCCCACCUUUGCGCCAUUAAGCUCCUGAAGCUUCAUUAAAGGGGUGAGCUUUCUGUAAGACAGCCUUUCCUUAGCCACCAUAUAGGCGGACCUGAAUGAUGUUGCGGUCUCCUACAUUAAUUUCAAAUUCACCUUAAUUACUUUAUUUGUCAGAAUCGCCUUUUGCUUAGUCCAGUGGUUCCCAACCUUUUUUACGCCAAGGCCCACCUCCUCUCCGAAUCAAUACGCCACGGCCCACCUCCCCCCCUUCAGUCUGUAUUUCACAGUGGUUUUUAAUUUAUUAAAUGUAACGUAAUAAUAAUUAAAGUAAUAAAUUAUAUUAAUAUAUUUUAAUUAAUUUUAAUUUAUCUCGGGGCCCACCUGGAGGAUCACUGAGGCCCCCUAGUGGGCCUCGGCCCACAGGUUGGGAACCACUGGCUUAGUCAAUGCCACUUCAAUGGCCCUCGUGUGUGCAAUGCUGUCCCUAUGUUUAUAUAUCUUUUUUUGCAACUUGUUCUGAGCAGUGCUGCUUAAUAUUUCCCCAUUAAUCCACUCCUCAGACAAGUGCGUGCCAGGUACUUUUUCAGACAGAAGAAGGGUUUUUGAUCAUUGUAUGAUAUUUUUUCCCGAUGUGAGCCGUCAGCUCCAGUCCACUACAAUUUGGAGUGGUUAAGGCCCGGGUACUUCAUUUCCCGCGUUCCGCUCAGUUGAGUGUGAGAGCCUUUCAAAGAGACUUCUUUUGCCCGUGAGCGCGCAAGCCUUUCAAAGAUACUCCUUUGGCACAUGCACACGCGCACCAUCCAUGGUCAUAAAAAUUCGGCUGCAUGCGGCCACUGUUCAGAGAUCCAAAGCUAGUCCACAGUCUAGUAAACGUUGCUUGCUUGCGCCAAAUGAAAACACAUGAGAAACAUCAUGAAAUAGGAGAGACUCGGACAUUGCAGUACUGAACAUUGAACGGUCCACAUAUGUGGAUUUGGAUAAAACAGGUAAUCGCUUUGAUGCCGCGCCUGAACGGCGUUUGUUCCUUCACAGUGGCGUAUAGCGGACGGGCAUGCAGGACUAAUGAAUUAUUCUUAUUAUCAUGCUACUUUUAUUAUUAAGUUAUUGCAAUUAAUUUGCCCCGCGAUAUCAUAGCGCAUCACAUAGCGCAUCACCACAAUAAAAUAGUAGUUAGCUUACUCCUCAUUUAAAAAACAACUUGUUUGACAUGAAAUACUUCUCGAUUCACGAAAAAUACUAUUUUUUUUCUCACUAUGGGCCACAAGAGAAAUAUUAAAAAAUUUAAUAUACAAUUUUAAUAUACAAUUAUAAUAUAUAUCGCCUUUCUUACAGUAUCGCAAUAUAUCACAAUAUAUCGUAUCGUAACCCCUGUAUCGUGAUACGUGUCAUAUCGCCAGAUUCUUGGCAAUACACAGCCCUAUAUAUACAUAUAUGUGUGUAUAUAUAUAUAUAUAUAUAUAUGUAAACAUUUUAAAGCAGAGGCUCUGUUAUUUCUUUUGAUAUAUUAUACAUUCAGGUAUUCAUACAGCAAAAUAUUCUGGGGGCCAUGAACAUUUUAUGAAAAUGAUCCAAAAUGGUGGUGAAGGCUGGCAACUUUUUUUUUAAAUGCUGGCAGGGAAAGCGUUAAAAACAAAAUUAUGCCAUUCUUUUUGGUUAGCCGAUAGCUAUAAGUCAGAUAUAUAUUUCUGUGUAGAAUAUGAGUUGUAGUGCUGUAACGUUAAAGACUUGGCAAAUUUGACUGAGGAGGACGAACUCCAGAGGACGGGAUGAUGCAAGUCUGGUCAUUCUGAAAAUAGAACAGCAGCAGAGAUGGACUUAUUAGGAGAUACAAGGGUCUGUUGGUCUACCAUUGGUGAAAGCAUAGUGGCCAACUUGGAUCAAGUGUGCCUCGAUAACCAAAUCACAUUACAGCCUUGACAUCACUGAAUUUCUGUCAGAGGUAUGAGUCAGUUAAUCACUGUUUGCAGAUACCAUAGGAAUGAAUGAGAAGUGAAGAGUAAAACCCAUCUCCUCACUUCUAGUUCUAUCUAUUCUUACCACAACUGGGGGGAGUACUCAGGGCCAAAAUUCCGAGCUCGGCGUCCUUCCUCUGGACAGCAUGCCAAAUACGCAUAACCUUUACCUAUUUAAUUAAAUGUAAACUUGUGAAAUGCACACUUCAGAUGAUCUGGAUUCGACUAAGUCUGCAAGGUUUGCUAAAUUAAAUGUUUAUUGGAUAUAUUUAAAGAUUUGUCUAAAAUAAAUGAUAUAAAUGUUUAUUUGCUGAAUGCUGACGGUAAAUAAGAAAGUAUUAUUAUAACACUAUAGUGUUUGCCUUUCUAUUACUAAUAGGCCUAAUAUAAAAGCAAACGCUAUUGAUACUUUUUUUGUAUAGCCUAGCUACCAUUUACUUUCUUUGUUUAACAGUUUUAUCUAAUAACAUAGCCUAUUAGACAAAACUGUUUAACAGAGACGGUGUGGUGACAAAUGUUAUGAUAAAUGCUGUAACUAUGUACUACAAGCAUAGCAUAAAGAUACCUGAUUAACAAGAUAGCUUAGUUUACAUGCAUCUGCAUUUACCCUAUACAUGUAUUCACAAUAAUCUGUUAUGCUUUUUCUAAUAUUAUCUUUCAUGCAAUAUGGAAUGUAGCUGUCUGUGAAUGUAAACGAUCUGCAAAGUUGUGAAGUCGAAAGUGCACGAUAAAUAAAGUUCCUGGCUGCGUCUGAAACUGCAUACUCACUGAGUAGGUACUUAAUUUCAAUAAGUACUUAAGAGCUAAAAGAGUAGGUACUAUAUAGCCUGAUCUCGUUGAGUAUGAAUGCGAUCCGGACGCCAUCCGCUAUGUUGACGUUAUCAUGUGACCUACGACUUUAUCACAAGCUCAACAACUUAAAGAGUGACAGGUUUAAUUCAUCUAUUAUGUAAAUAUCUUGAUAUUGUUUAAACUUGCUCAUUUUGUGGUCUUGUUGAAGAAACAGCUGCCCAUUUAUUUUCUGAUUGUAGUAUAACAAAGAAGAUCUCACCUUUGGAGAAGACUGUUGAUUAUAUACUCUAAAAAUAUAAGCAUCACUAAAAUUAAGAUUACCCCAGAAUGAAUUGCAUUGCUAGCCCACCCCAACACUUAUGCACAAUAAUAAUGAUAAAUGCUGACCAAUACUUAAAUAUAUUACUUUUUUCCCCUUUUUUAGUAAAACAAGCAAAAUGUAAUGUUUUGUCAUAUGACAUAUCUAUGCAUGAAUACACACUAGACAAAUACAGCCGAUGUGAAUACAUCUCAAUUUUCAGUUAAACAAUGAAUUAAUGCAUGAAUUAAUAAAAUAAUUAUAUUUUAUUUAUUGACAAUAAUAGCAAACAUGAAUAAAGAAGUAAAAGAAUUAAUAAAAGUAACCAUCACAAUAAAUAAAUACAUAUAUAAGACAACAAUACAUUAAAACAAAGCUUUAUUCAAACUUAUUGUUCUAACAAUCACGUAUUUACAGGCAGUGAACCCCACAUCCUACUGCCAUCUCAACACAGCUGUGCCAAUUCUGUGGCUUUAUUUUGAUGAAGCAGCUGACCACCGUGCCCACCUGUCUUUGCCAUUCAUAAUGUCCCUCAUUGCUGCUCUUCUCAGUGGGGACAUCACUGAUCCAGAGAAUGAGGAAAACCAUGUUGUCGGCCCCCCUGAACCCCACAACCUUGAAGCAAGAGUGGGAGAAGAUGUGCGGGACAAUCUGGCUGCCGCUGUGUCUGCUCCAAACAUUCAUGUGCCUGCUCUCCAUGAGCAUGACUACCUCUCUAUUUUGUGGUGUAGUGGGCUAAACCGCUGAACUGGUAAGCAGAAGGUUGCUGGUUCGAUCUCCGCAGCCGUCACCACCAGUGUGUCUUUGAGCAAGGCACUUUACUCCAGAUGCUCUCGCUGGCUCUGGGCUCACUGAGGAUGAAGAGACCACAGCAAGAUCUGGGCCAGAUGAGGUAAUAAGGGCAGGUGGAGUGAUGGAGGGUCUCAUCCAUGGCACUAUAGUAUUUCCAGGAUGCUGCUGUGGGCUCCCCAUCUUCAAUGCUCACACCAGACGUCUUAGAUCCUACAAAAAUGCACAAACAUAAUACAAAAGCAGUAAUUUUAACAGCACAAUGUCAUUUGAUUUCUGUAUUAUAAGUAACAAAAUGAUCGUACUUUAUUUUUUUGUUUCAGAUUUUCCCUUUUUUUGUUCACAAAUGCCGCCGUCACCUUACCUUGCAGGCCUUGCUCCACCACAAAAGCUCUGCAGCAAAUGCACAGAAAUCAAGAAUCAUAAAAGUGGUGUAAUAACUCUGUUUGAAAUGAAAAUAAACUACAACUUAAGAUUUAAAUAGAUUUUUUAUUCAUUUCUGUAGUAUACUCACUUAAAGCCUUAAAGCUCAUCUGUCCCUGUCACAUCCAGACAAGAUUUAUACUACAUUUAAAUGUUGAGGUAGUUCCUUAAUUUAUCAACAAUACUAAUGGACAAAUAAAAUAGAACUUAUGUUUAGUUACUUCAUGUAGAUUUGUUUAUUUACAUUACUUACAUUCAUGUAAUGUAAGCAGUGUUGACAACCGUGAAUUCUACUACAUAAUAGCACACAUACAUCACUCACUCAGAUGUCUACUUCAUGUUGUGAUGUGCUCAUCUGCAAUACUUAUCGAAGAUUUUCCUUUCAGAUGUUAAAUAAACAUUUAGUACGCGUCUUUAUGAUGUAUAUGGUUUAGAAUUCAUGUAAAUCCACUUUGGAGACGCAAGUUAUGUGUGCUUACUAGAGCUCCCCUGUUAGCUAUACAUAAUAAAACAGGUUUUUACAGCAAAGUCGCAACUAUACUAUACUAUCUAGCAUCUUUUCACAUUCAACAAUUCAACAGUUUACUCAACAGUAGUUCAACAAAUGCGUGUUUUUGGUUUUUAAUACUCACAUUUGAAAACAACUACGUUGCUUUUUUCCUCCGUUUUCGAUUAUGACAUAUCCUCUCCCCUGGCCUCCUGGGAUAGAAAAGUAUCCAUCGGAUGAGCACUCGAGAAUCUGGGCGGAAGCAGUAGGCCAUUCAGGAACUUUCGCCUACUCUUUUAUGAAUACUGAAGUUUCGGACAUACUACUCAUUUCACAUACUGUUUUCUCCUACUAUAUAGUAGAUAAGUAGGCAUAUUUGUACGCAACUUAAGUAUAUGCACAACUGAAUCUUGCAAGAAUUAGUACAUUACCGAGGUAAUUCUCGCCUACUCUUUUAUGAAUACUAAGGAUUCGGACAUACUUAUUCGCUCGCCUAAUGCUUUUCCCCUACUAUAUAGUAGAGAAGUAGGCGGUUUUGGAUGCAGCCAUUGUCUUUCAAAAGAAAGAAAGAAUAGACUGAGUAGCCUAAACGAAUUGUUAGGAAUUCAAAUCCAACUUCCGUGAAGGCUACACGUCACUGGGUAGCACAUUUGCCUAAUGCCUGCCUAUGUUCUUUAUUGGCUGCCCGCAAACAUCUACUUUGACCCGCCCCAACGCUGUAGCUGGUUCUGUUGUAUACAUGUCAAGAAGAUGCUGGUUUCUGAUCAGCAAAAGCAAAUUCUCUUUGUAAACACUUCCAAAUGAUGAAGAUAUGAAGAGUCAGUGGUUAAAAUUACCACAGCGAUACAACAGCAGAAUAACAUUUUCACGAUUGGUUCUCAAAUCUCCAUGAGGUCUAAAUGAGAUUUACAAAACGCCUAUUCAUUAAAGAUGGGACCAUACCGACUUUAUUUGGACCAACUUGCUCCUCAGAAUCACAGUCUGUAAGUACAAUUAAUUAUUGAUGUAUAUAUUUUCUACUGGGUGUUCAAAAUUCACGUUAGUGCUUAGCUAAUAUUAGCACUAUUAUUAAUACAGUCAAAUGAUACAGCUGUCAGAGAUCGGCAAGGCUCCAUCACCACCCAAUCACCCCCUGACUAAUCAGAACCAGAAGCGAUGCAACUGGAUAACACUCGCCUGACUGUGUCUGAGCGGCAGAGGAGGAUGACCCAGGGUCUUUGUUUGUAUUGCGGUUCUGGGGGACAUGUUAUCACAGCCUGUCCCAUUCGUCUACCACAACCUAUGUACACACCCUCCUCGACUCUGGGUCAGCUGGAAACUUCAUCUCCGAAUCCCUCUGCCACCAGCUCAACCUCAAGAAGAGGCCCGUUAAGACUCAUUACCAGGUCCAGUCGAUCAUUGGCAAACCCUUGACUGACUGUGCCAUCAACCUCCUUCCGGAUGAGCCAGUGGCCCAUGGAAAGAUUUAUCCUCUCUCUCUCCCUGAACAGAAGGCCAUGUGAGGAGUACAUGAAAGAGGCUCUUCAACAGGGUUACAUCCGGCCUUCCACUUCCCCUGCUGCUUCAAGCUUUUUCUUUGUGGCAAAGAAGGACGGAGGCUUGCGACCCUGCAUUGACUACAGAGCACUCAACAAAAUCACCAUGAAAUUCCGGUACCCUCUUUUAAGAGGGGUUUAAGAGAUGCUGUUAAACGCAAGGCCUUGUUUUUGUUUCUUUCUGAUAAACACAAUGGGAGAAAUUUUAAUAAAUAUCCUGACG